UCGUAUAACAGAGGUGCUGGGGCUGUCGCUAUCUUUGUGCACGCCCUGGUGCUCUCUCGCAAUCCAUCUCACCCCUUUUGUGCAUCACCGCGUGGGUGCUCUCCUUUUGAAAAGGGAGCAUUUGCGCUUUUACACAGACCCACCGCAUGUUUAGAAUGUGUUAGUAUUUUGUGAUAAUAUGCAAUCAAUA
RNAcentral lists this unclassified non-coding RNA (190 nucleotides) under uncultured Russulaceae. Its description in RNAcentral is "sequence contains ITS1". The record is from RNAcentral. Lineage: Eukaryota; Fungi; Basidiomycota; Agaricomycetes; Russulales; Russulaceae.